UAUGUGGAUACGUUGAAGAGUUACGUGUAACUUGGUAUCGUCCACAGCCUGCAAAGCCUCACUAAACUUUCUGAAACAUUGAAAGAAGUGAAAAAUCACGGCGUUGAGCUAUAACGUUUAGUAGGUUCAUUCUUGAAAAAGGUAAGCUCG
RNAcentral lists this non-coding RNA (150 nucleotides) under unclassified sequences. RNAcentral describes it as "RT-3 RNA". It matches the Rfam family "RT-3 RNA". The record is from Rfam by way of RNAcentral.